Molecule: ribosomal RNA, 598 nt
Filed under: uncultured bacterium
Lineage: Bacteria
Description: bacterial SSU rRNA
Rfam family: Bacterial small subunit ribosomal RNA
Source: RNAcentral
AGAGUUUGAUCCUGGCUCAGAGUGAACGCUGGCGGUAGUGCCUAACACAUGCAAGUCGAACGGCAGCACAGGAGAGCUUGCUCUCUGGGUGGCGAGUGGCGGACGGGUGAGGAAUACAUCGGAAUCUACUUUUUCGUGGGGGAUAACGUAGGAAACUUACGCUAAUACCGCAUACGACCUACGGGUGAAAGCAGGGGAUCUUCGGACCUUGCGCGAUUGAAUGAGCCGAUGUCGGAUUAGCUAGUUGGCGGGGUAAAGGCCCACCAAGGCGACGAUCCGUAGCUGGUCUGAGAGGAUGAUCAGCCACACUGGAACUGAGACACGGUCCAGACUCCUACGGGAGGCAGCAGUGGGGAAUAUUGGACAAUGGGCGCAAGCCUGAUCCAGCCAUACCGCGUGGGUGAAGAAGGCCUUCGGGUUGUAAAGCCCUUUUGUUGGGAAAGAAAUCCAGCUGGUUAAUACCCGGUUGGGAUGACGGUACCCAAAGAAUAAGCACCGGCUAACUUCGUGCCAGCAGCCGCGGUAAUACGAAGGGUGCAAGCGUUACUCGGAAUUACUGGGCGUAAAGCGUGCGUAGGUGGUCGUUUAAGUCCGUUGU